UUCCUGCCUGAUUGCUCAAAAUUGUUCACAUGUAGGGAAAACAGUGAAAUUGAUGCCUGUUAUCUACAUUGGUAUUUAGUAAUGAUAAUUGUGCAGGUUGUGAGCUUUUAACUAACCUCAUUUCCAUGCAUAUCGACAAGUGUUUUCAGCUCCGCACGCCUCAGCAGAGCAGAGUGCCCCUUCCCAAGCAGCAAGUCCAAAAGCUUGUGCUUUGAUGAGGACUUCGAGAUCAACUAGGCUGAGAGACAUCAGUCCUAGAGUAAGGCCAGACAUGAGUCCUGCGAAACAAACAAGCGCGAUGCAUAUCACUAGAUACACCCAAAACAUCGUUUCACAACAUGGGACAUCGUUUGCUGCCAUUGCAAUCUAAACAGAGUUUCUUGCAACCGCUCCAUGUGUUAUCUCGGCCGGUAAGGCAUUUGCAAGAAUAGAUGACAUCUCGAUAAUGAGUACGCCACUUGACCAACUAGGCCACCCUGAAGUACUUUUGCUAUCCUGAGUUUCAAGGCUCUUGCGGAUGCUGGAUUUAAGGAGGCAACCCUUUCUCCCUUCAUGAGUUCAAAGGCAGGUACCAAGAAAAGCACCAGAGGUAUAAUAGUAGUACUAGUAACUAAAUGUUAAAUGCCAUAGUUAUUCUUGGAUGCAAUAUAUUAUAGAGCCAUGCACAGUUCAGUUUAAAAAAGUACUAGCAUAACACAAACUGGGAUAUUAGGUAAGUGGAAAUGUGGCUGAAUGACGAAACAAAAGGGAUGUAGUAGGUAUUCUAUGUUUUUCUCUUGAUUUAGGUAUUAAGAUAUUAUUAUGCACUUUACGCGCAGAAAACGCGGAGUACAGGUCACUUGGCUAAUUAAUCUUGGAGUAAUAUAGUAUAGUACAUUUUUGUGUUUAUGAACGAGGGAAGGUUAUUGUUUUUUAAUUAAUAGGCUGGGGUUGAUUUACUGCGACCACGACAAUAAUGAGAAACGAUUAUUGGUCAUCAACCUAUUAGUUUGAGUAUUAUAUAUUUCCUGAAAUAA
Non-coding RNA from Salvia hispanica, 1016 nucleotides. Lineage: Eukaryota; Viridiplantae; Streptophyta; Magnoliopsida; Lamiales; Lamiaceae. The record is from RefSeq and is a predicted model, not a curated record.